RNAcentral lists this ribosomal RNA (327 nucleotides) under Triticum aestivum (bread wheat). RNAcentral describes it as "partial small subunit ribosomal RNA". Lineage: Eukaryota; Viridiplantae; Streptophyta; Magnoliopsida; Poales; Poaceae. The record is from RNAcentral.
AUGCUGAGAAUACAUAAGCAUGCUGAUCUAUUUAUGCAACAUAGAGAAAAGCAUCACUUGAUGUUCCGCAACGGGUGUUGGAAGAGAGUACAUGACAGGAGCAUAAAUUUCAACUACAAGUCAGCAGUAGCGCAGACACAAAAGCAACCGAAGAGACUCUCAAAUAGACGAUUUCGAGGGACCUUGCAAACGUCUCCUCCCUCUGCUUGUUCCACUUCUCAAUCUGGUUCGGUAGGACCUGGAGGAUACCAAAAUUCGUCUCAGCAAACAAAGAGACUUUUCCCUUGCAUAAACAACAAUGAUCAAGUAUAUUUCAAGAAAUAUUAA